Molecule: ribosomal RNA, 496 nt
Filed under: uncultured bacterium
Lineage: Bacteria
Description: partial 16S ribosomal RNA
Rfam family: Bacterial small subunit ribosomal RNA
Source: RNAcentral
AUGAACGCUGGCGGCGUGCCUAAUCCAUGCCAGUCGAGCGAACAGACGAGGAGCUUGCUCCUCUGACGUUAGCGGCGGACGGGUGAGUAACACGUGGAUAACCUACCUAUAAGACUGGGAUAACUUCGGGAAACCGGAGCUAAUACCGGAUAAUAUAUUGAACCGCAUGGUUCAAUAGUGAAAGACGGUUUUGCUGUCACUUAUAGAUGGAUCCGCGCCGCAUUAGCUAGUUGGUAAGGUAACGGCUUACCAAGGCAACGAUGCGUAGCCGACCUGAGAGGGAGAUCGGCCACACUGGAACUGAGACACGGUGCAGACUCCGACGGGAGGCAGCAGUAGGGAAUCUUCCGCAAGGGGCGAAAGCCUGACGGAGCAACGCCGCGUGAGUGAUGAAGGUCUUCGGAUCGUAAAACUCUGUUAUUAGGGAAGAACAAAUGUGUAAGUAACUAUGCACGUCUUGACGGUACCUAAUCAGAAAGCCACGGCUAACUACGUG